Non-coding RNA from Marine Group I thaumarchaeote SCGC AAA799-P11, 281 nucleotides. It matches the Rfam family "Archaeal RNase P". From Rfam's summary of the family: Ribonuclease P (RNase P) is a ubiquitous endoribonuclease, found in archaea, bacteria and eukarya as well as chloroplasts and mitochondria. Its best characterised activity is the generation of mature 5'-ends of tRNAs by cleaving the 5'-leader elements of precursor-tRNAs. NCBI's taxonomy places the organism in Archaea, Thermoproteati, Nitrososphaerota. The record is from Rfam.
GUGAGCUGGAGCACGACACGCUGCUACGGCAGAGGAAACUCCUCCCUCCAUACAGGAUAUGUGAUCUGGAGAUAGAUAAUCAGAGAUGAUUGGCAACGGAGCAGAAAAAAAUCCAAUAUGGCGCACAGUGAUGGUGAAAGCCUGAGGUUUCCAUAAAAGGAAUGAAAAAAGCCGACCCACAUGGAGCAAAGCCAAACAGAACUUUAUGUUCCUGUACUAAGUUCAGGUAGGCUGCAAAGCGAAAUAUCGUGAAAACAGAAGGAGGGUUACUCCCAGCACAC